GAAAUGAACCGAACCAGUCGAGCGUGCACAGCGACAUGACUCGCUAUUGUUCGAGGCUUGUCGACAUAUUAACCUGCAUUCCCUGCAGUCAUCCACUAUACCGAAUUAGUGCAGUAGACAAGGAAAGGGAAACCGGGGGAAAAAAGGAAGGCGGACUAAUUGAAAAACAAUUGGUGGGAAAGCGCAUUAAUUAAUAGGCUCUAUACCGCAUGUCAGAUGAUGCCUCGAGAGCUUGAAGCCUUUUGUAAAAUCCGUCCAUUAGAAAUAAUUUAGCGCGAAUGGGCGAGCUAAUUUCUCAUUAACCUUUGUUAUAAGACCCAGUUACACAUAAUUAGGGACAAUACAGUUGCAGUUUCACCUUAAUGUUUAAGAAUAAACGGUGUUUAAAAUCAUAACAUACAAGAAGAUAUAAACAUUUCCUGCUCCACAAAAGCUGACUGUGGUGAACCUCAGACAAGCCUUACAGAUCUAAUUGAAUGUGACAAGGGCUAAAGCAUAUUUUUGGAGCACCAAAAUGGUGCAUCCCGUUUCAUCCUUGUCAAAAUGUAUUGAUUUCUCUAGUUUUGUGGAGUGGUUGAUGUCUCUGUUACUCAGCGGUCAGCGGGAGAGGGUUGGUUUAAGCGGGUUCAAUUGGAGGGCUGAUACAACACCCACCUAACAAGUCUGUAAAACUAGAUUUAACUUAGGCUUUCUCUCAUUAGAGAUACUCUUGAGUCAAAGUACUCUGUAGAUGUUUUCAAGCAUCAUAGUACUUAACAUAGUGAGAUAUUGUGUAAAAGAUAGGCUACAUUGUCUAUAUUUUUAAUGAUUUACAUUAAGUGAGAGAAUACACCUACAUGCAUAUCCAAUUCUGUAUAUAUUUAUUUAUUUUGUAGGACAGGGGGUAGGAGAUGGGUAGCAGUGGGGGAGAAAGACAGGGAACGGAACAGAGAGUGCGAGCUUGUGCCGACCACGGAGGUGAUGAAUUUCUCUUGGCCAGAAUCAGUGCACCUGGGUUUCCUUUGGUGUAUCCAGAGGUAAAUAAUUGAUGUGGGGAUAAAAGCGUUUGUGAGGGGGAGUGAGACAUUCAGACAAGGGAGUGAAAACCCGGCCGGAGCCCAAUCUUCUAUGCCCCCCUCGCCGUUUGGUGGCCCCUCACACCGCCACCUCGGACAAGCGCUUGAAGUGCAAAUCUGUGUUCUGACUUGUUCCUGGUUGCUGUCAGCAUGUUUUCCUCUUGUCAGUGGCGAUUGACUGGGGGCUCAUCUCACCCUUGUGCCGGGACUGUAGCGGGAUCAUUGACAGAGGAAGUGUAGGCUCUUACACUUUAGGAAUGACCGAAAGCAAGGGCACGGUUGAGAACGUUGAGGGCUAGAUCACUGAUCCUGAUCUCCAGGUCGCUCCUGCCAUUUCAUAGGAGGGAAAAAAAAAUCAAGACAAGUGGCUGUCUUUGGAAACAAGAAAAACACUAAAGGGGAAAAGUGCCCAUCGAUCAAUCAAUCUAUUAACUGUAUCUUCUGGUGUUUGUGUCAGGUGCACCCGAGACUAUGAUUGGGAGAUAAAUGUAAUGUGAGAUAACCUCUCUCUAUCCUUCCUGCAGUCCCUAGUCUGCCUUUGUCACAAACACACCAAUGAAAUAUUAAGAAUGUGCUUAUCUGCCAGAGGGCGAUUUUAAUUACCACCUAAGGUUACACCAUUAAUAUGAAAUAACACAGUGUGCAAUCUCUUC
This is a long non-coding RNA of Cyprinus carpio carpio, 1708 nucleotides long. Lineage: Eukaryota; Metazoa; Chordata; Actinopteri; Cypriniformes; Cyprinidae. The record is from Ensembl.